UUCUCAGCGGCUGUGGGACUCCGGGCACAGUUCAGUACAUUUUGAACUGAAUGAAAAACACAUCAGGGUCCCCACCGGUGAAAACUCAGCGGCUUCCAGGGGGCAUGGCCUUCCGGAACUCCAUCUCUGGAGGCCCAAACCCCAGACACCUAAGGAUGAAAGGUCUGCUCAUCUGGAAGGGAAGCUAAGGAACUUCUCGGGAGGCAUUCUGGGCUGCUCUCAGGGGGCCAGCAGGGCCCGGCCAAUGCCACAGGGUGUCCGAGGAAAGGGCCCCUUGCCACCACCCAGCCUCCUGGUGUACGGAAUCUCCUUUGCAAGCCCAUGAUUGUCAGUGAGCCCAAGCCACAGCGAGAGAGCCGGGACAUGCAGCAAUAGGCAAAUUGCAAGUUGGCUCCUGAAGUUUGACCAAAGGAGCAUAUAAUUUGAGCACUGGAGAUGGCGCUUGCACCGUGCCUGAGCUGAAAGGGGGGACGGGAGAAAACUUGGCAUGGGGAGAGAAGAAGGGAGCAGGAGACGGAGCUUUCUUUUCCUUCCUUGGAAAUUCUGCCGCGGGCUUCCAGUCACAAUGAAGGGUGGCCAUGAAAACUGAGAGCCCAAGCAAGGAACCCAACACCCAAGAAUGUAUAAGCUGGUUUGGCAAAAAGGAGAACUUCAUAAACAUUGAAAGGCAAUAAAAGCCAUUCAACAAAUAGUUACUGGGUUCCCACACCACGCUGGGCUCCAUUCGAGGCACAGGGGAGAAGGUGGAAAAGAGGAGACUGUUCCUCACCCCAAGGAGGUCUUGGUUCCUUGCAUUUCUAUGUAAAUUUAUACCAAAAAAUCCUGCCGGAGUUUUAAUUGCAUUUGCAUUAAAUCUCCAGAUCAAGCUGAGAGAAUUGACAUCUUAACACUAUUGAGCUAACGCAACUAUGAACAUGGGCUGCUGCAGUGGUUGGAGGGGUGACCCGGGAAACGAGAGCCACAGCUGCUUGAUUGAGCUCUGCCGCCGAGAGAGGGGUCGUCGCUCCGUCUCACAACUCCCCAAACCGCAAGUGGGCAAACCCGCAGCCUCUUGCAAGCCAGGGCCAGCUGCGUGGUUGCCCCCAUUGGAAAGCACCCCGUUGUCUCUGGGGUCCCCUGGGCUUGAAGGCACACCCCAGGGAAACCUGCAUCAAUGAACAGACCAGUCAGAUAAUUUAAAAACUCAUUUCAGUUGAGUUUUAAAAUAAUCAAAGGUGGCCUUAAAAGAAACUCCUCACUUCCCUUUUCAGUAUUUCUCUCUCUGCUUCUGACACUACUCACUUUUUUUUUUUUUUUUUUUUUGUGCUCCAUUGCAAGUGUUGAGCUCAUGUAUCCAUUUGUUGGGCCUGAAUUCAGCCAAGAUAUAUUUUAAUCAAUAAAGCUGUCACUAAUAAAAGGUUCUCUUAAAAUUAUUAAACAUGAACCCUGUGCUUCAGGAAAGCAAGGGAGGAUUUAGCAGUAAAGGGUUUUCCUGGUACCCCACAAAAUAUGUCAUAUAGGCAGGUAGUUGCCUUCUCAUCGGCCCAACCCUCGGAAGGUACAUAUGUGGGUGAUUUACUAGGCUCAGGGCCCUGGACAAGGUCUGUUGGGAAUUUUCAAGGUAGAGGAAAACACCCUCUGAGAGCUUAGAGUCUAUUGGAAUAAACUGGAUUAAAUAUAUUUUAUGUGCCUGGAGAACAUUUAUCUAUCAACCAUCUAUCCAUCUAUCUGUAUCAUGUCUCUCUCUCUCUCACUCUCACUCUCUAUGUAUCUAUCCACCUAUCAUCUACCUUUCUACCUACACAGCCAACUGUAGCUUCACAGAGAUAUACCCUGUGCCGAGUAAUUAAGAAAGGAGAAAAAUUGAAGGAUAAGAUGCCAUGUACCUCAUUAUCCUGCAGUGCCCAUUUUUAAUCAGCAUUCUACACAGAUUUCUUUUAUUCAGAAAUCGUCUCCCUAGAAUGCACACACGUGAACACACACCCACACGCACACCACAUUGACUUCUCUCCUCACACUGCUUUUUUUUGGCUUCCUUUUUAGAGUUCACAGCUGUGACCCUGCGGACGGGAGCCUACUGGAGAAAGGCUGUCGAGGGAGCAUUGAGACGUCUGUGCUUCGGGUUUGGUUGGCAGCAGGUGGAUUCUGGUGACGGCCCCAAGCUGUUGGCAACACCCUGUGUCUACUCUGGGUGUGGCCGUGUUAGACCAAAGGGACAAGAAGCAAGCGCCAAGCAGCAGACCACUGGAAAACCGUCGAUUUACGCCCAGGCAUUGGCUGCUCCAAUGUUCCCCUUUGUGUUCCUCAUUCUCUAACUUCAACGGAAUCACAACUUGUGCAUUUGUAGCAGAACUAAUCAGACUGAUUGGUGUUCCCAAUGUAAUCAUUGUUUUAAUAUACUUUCAACCAUCCCCUCACAUUCAGGAGUUAUAAAAUUUAUUUUUCUCUGGGAAACCUGGCAUUGGCCUUGGUCUCUCCCUCACAUCCGGGGUGAGCUGGUAAAUGCCUAACAACUAGCUCCCCGAAAAAUAAAGCACCUGACUUGGAGCAUUUGCUGGUUUCUGGGGCGUAAAUCCUCUGACCAUGGCCGAUUGCUGGCUCUCAAGGUGACACCCCUGGAUGUGAGGCUGGGGCGUGACGCGGCCUCCGUCGUGUGGAGCUCCCGCCACGCAGACACGAGCCACGUCCACCCCAGGAGGACAGGCCACGGGGAGAGGCAGGAAACAACUAGCAGGCAAUGAGUUUUCAGUGUCUUUUUUUUACUUUUUUAAAACAUAAUUUGUUCGAUCAUACAUUUGUAUAGUUUAAUUUUUAAUAAUGGCUGUGUUUUAAAACCAGCUCGUAAGAGUCCUGAAAAAUUCAUUAAUUGGAUCUCACAAGGCAGCACGGAUGGUGCAGGCUCUUCCCGGCGCAGCUGCUCGUGUGUGGAGUCCUGGAGGGUCCCCCGUUGGGGACCAGGGUUGAGGGGACAGCGGGGGGCUCUGGCUCAGCCGGAAUCAUGGUUUUGUUUCCACUGGGGGCUUUCCCACCGUUUUGAGACGGUCUCUCCUCAAAGUGAUGGGAAAAGCCGGCAGUGCGGUGGCGGAAAGCAUCUGGAAGCAGCUUCUGGAGCCUUCUAAACCCUCCCCGAUACCCUUGUCUAAACAGAGCCCCAUUUUGAAAUGUUUUCUGCUCAGCUGUUCUAUUUCUGUUUCUCCUUUAAAGCAGGGUGGGAGAGCACUGGCCCUCGAUUUCUACCUCAAGUAUCUACUCUGAAAGUCCUUGAGAUAAUUUAGAUAAUUUCUUUUGUGAAAAUCUUACCUUGAUGGAGGUGUUUAGCGGCAACAUAUUACAAAGCCAUAGUUUGCAGCUGUUAUUCUUUACAUUUUAUGCUCUCCGUUUUUCUGCGCUUCUCUCUCUCUCUGUUUCUCUUUCUCUCCCACCGUCCCUCCCUCCUUCUCUCUCUCCCCUGUGUUUGUGUGGGUUUCUCUGUUUCUCUGUCUCCAGCUUGUCUUCCCUCUUUAUGUUUUCUUCCUUAUCUUCCAUGCCCGCAGGGUCUUUUAAUCUGUCUAUACUACACAGCCGGUGUCUAUAUUUUUUCACUUGUUUUUAAUGAACAGAAUUUUAUGUUCUCUCUUCUUAAUUAAGUGCACCAAAUUUAUAUUUACAUUUUAUACAAAUGGAAUAAUACUAUAUGUAGUACUUUGUGUCUGGUUUCUUUCACUUACUGUAAUGGCCUUU
Molecule: long non-coding RNA, 3699 nt
Organism: Choloepus didactylus (southern two-toed sloth)
Lineage: Eukaryota; Metazoa; Chordata; Mammalia; Pilosa; Megalonychidae
Exons: 3
Source: RefSeq, a predicted model, not a curated record